Molecule: long non-coding RNA, 141 nt
Filed under: Orbicella faveolata
Lineage: Eukaryota; Metazoa; Cnidaria; Anthozoa; Scleractinia; Merulinidae
Description: uncharacterized LOC110049680, transcript variant X1
Source: RNAcentral
CUCGUCCAACAUAUGCCGGAAGUAGCCAAGAAAUUUCUUGAUCGCUGCAUUGUCGAAGAAGGUGACCCAGAGGAUGAAAAUUACAAGGUUUCAUACGACCUUCGGUUCAUUCAAGGAAUGCCGGACGAAAAACGCAACGGG